CAGAGGUGGCAAGCGUUGUUCGGAAUUACUGGGCGUAAAGGGCGCGUAGGCGGCCUUCUAAGUCAGACGUGAAAUCCCCAGGCUUAACUUGGGAACUGCGUCUGAUACUGGAGGGCUCGAGUGCGGGAGAGGGAUGUGGAAUUCCAGGUGUAGCGGUGAAAUGCGUAGAUAUCUGGAGGAACACCGGUGGCGAAGGCGGCAUCCUGGACCGACACUGACGCUGAGGCGCGAAAGCUAGGGGAGCAAACGGGAUUAGAUACCCCGGUAGUCCUAGCCCUAAACGAUGAGUGCUUGGUGUGGCGGGUAUCGAUCCCUGCCGUGCCGAAGCUAACGCAUUAAGCACUCCGCCUGGGGAGUACGGUCGCGAGGCUG
Molecule: ribosomal RNA, 372 nt
Filed under: uncultured organism
Description: bacterial SSU rRNA
Rfam family: Bacterial small subunit ribosomal RNA
Source: RNAcentral